Molecule: ribosomal RNA, 253 nt
Filed under: uncultured bacterium
Lineage: Bacteria
Description: partial 16S ribosomal RNA
Rfam family: Bacterial small subunit ribosomal RNA
Source: RNAcentral
UACGUAGGGGGCAAGCGUUAUCCGGAUUUACUGGGUGUAAAGGGAGCGUAGACGGCUGCGCAAGACAGAAGUGAAAGCCCGGGGCUCAACCGCGGGACUGCUUUUGAAACUGUGUAGCUAGAGUGCAGGAGAGGUAAGUGGAAUUCCUAGUGUAGCGGUGAAAUGCGUAGAUAUUAGGAGGAACACCGGUGGCGAAGGCGGCUUACUGGACUGUAACUGACGUUGAGGCUCGAAAGCGUGGGGAGCAAACAGG